This 409-nucleotide ribosomal RNA is filed under the name uncultured bacterium. Its description in RNAcentral is "bacterial SSU rRNA". It matches the Rfam family "Bacterial small subunit ribosomal RNA", at positions 917 to 1349 of the family's 1533-position model. The record is from RNAcentral.
GGGCCCGCACAAGCGGUGGAGUAUGUGGUUUAAUUCGAUGCAACGCGAAGAACCUUACCAGGGUUUGACAUCCUGCGAAUCUCUUGGAAACAGGAGAGUGCCUUCGGGAACGCAGUGACAGGUGGUGCAUGGCUGUCGUCAGCUCGUGUCGUGAGAUGUUGGGUUAAGUCCCGCAACGAGCGCAACCCACGUCUUUAGUUGCCAGCAUUUAGUUGGGCACUCUAGAGAGACUGCCGGUGAUAAACCGGAGGAAGGUGUGGAUGACGUCAAGUCAUCAUGCCCCUUACAUCCUGGGCUACACACGUGCUACAAUGGCAGUGACAAUGGGUUAAUCCCCAAAAGCUGUCUCAGUUCGGAUUGGGGUCUGCAACUCGACCCCAUGAAGUCGGAAUCGCUAGUAAUCGCGUAA